UGUUGGUCCUGGCAACGACCAUAACCGACGGUCCCGCGAGCCCAGUGGUGGUAGCGAUUUGGGUUGAUGUAAAACGGUGGAAGUGUUCGGGUUUUGACAGAGGAGUGACGACUGCCGUUUGAAGGCUUGGUAUUCCGGCGAGGUGUUUUCCGGUCUAGAUCCAGACAAUAUUCCGGGUUAUUCUAGACCUCCGACCAAAAUCCGGUGAACGACGGUGGUUGUAACGGUGAGUGGCGAAGAUGACACAAAUAUAAUGCGACGAGUAUCAUUGACGAGUGAAAUACUUCAAAGAGUACAAAUACUACAAGUUGGAUGGAUUGGCUAAAGUCCCAAAUGUCAACACAAGUUCAGCACCAAGCCAAACACCCACGUGGCAGGUUCCGUCGAUACAUCCGAUCUCCCCAGCUACAGUGUUCGGGUUGAAUCCUCCUAUUGUUUGCAGUAAUUCAAUUUAAGUAGCCGCAACGCGGCGACACGAAAAAAAACCUAGUU
This 492-nucleotide long non-coding RNA is filed under the name Helianthus annuus (common sunflower). RNAcentral describes it as "hypothetical non coding rna". Lineage: Eukaryota; Viridiplantae; Streptophyta; Magnoliopsida; Asterales; Asteraceae. The record is from RNAcentral.